UGCGUAGGGGGCUAGCGUUGUCCGGAUUUAUUGGGCGUAAAGAGCGUGUAGGCGGCCAGGUAGGUCUGGUGUGAAAACUCGAGGCUUAACCUCGAGAUGUCAUCGGAAACCAUCUGGCUAGAGUCCGGAAGAGGAGAGUGGAAUUCCUGGUGUAGCGGUGAAAUGCGCAGAUAUCAGGAAGAACACCAAUGGCGAAAGCAGCUCUCUGGGACGGUACUGACGCUGAGACGCGAAAGCGUGGGGAGCGAACAGG
RNAcentral lists this ribosomal RNA (253 nucleotides) under uncultured bacterium. RNAcentral describes it as "partial 16S ribosomal RNA". It matches the Rfam family "Bacterial small subunit ribosomal RNA", at positions 524 to 776 of the family's 1533-position model. The record is from RNAcentral.